AUAAUAAUAGUAUAUCUUAAAUAAUACCUUAACUUCAAAUGGAUAUAAUUUCAUCACUCUUACUCCAAAUCCUCUAAAAUUUAUAUACAAAUUGUAAUCCAAAUCCUAAACCUUAUAUUUCUUACUUUUGAUUUUCAAAUACUUCUUCAAAAGUCACCAAAAUCCUUAUUAUGGUCGUGGACUACCUAUUGAAUGCCUAUUGGAUAUGACCUUUGAUCAAUAGAAAUAAAGAUCUUUACCUUUUUCCUUCAUCCGACCCUGUCUUAAUUUCAUCCCUC
This 278-nucleotide long non-coding RNA is filed under the name Physcomitrium patens. RNAcentral's name for it is "long non-coding RNA (PPAT_LNC014114)". The record is from RNAcentral. Lineage: Eukaryota; Viridiplantae; Streptophyta; Bryopsida; Funariales; Funariaceae.